AUUGAACGCUGGCGGCAUGCCUUACACAUGCAAGUCGAACGGUAACAGGUCUUCGGAUGCUGACGAGUGGCGAACGGGUGAGUAAUACAUCGGAACGUGCCUAGUAGUGGGGGAUAACUACUCGAAAGAGUGGCUAAUACCGCAUGAGAUCUACGGAUGAAAGCAGGGGAUCGCAAGACCUCGUGCUACUAGAGCGGCCGAUGGCAGAUUAGGUAGUUGGUGGGAUAAAAGCUUACCAAGCCGACGAUCUGUAGCUGGUCUGAGAGGACGAUCAGCCACACUGGGACUGAGACACGGCCCAGACUCCUACGGGAGGCAGCAGUGGGGAAUUUUGGACAAUGGGCGAAAGCCUGAUCCAGCAAUGCCGCGUGCAGGAUGAAGGCCUUCGGGUUGUAAACUGCUUUUGUACGGAACGAAAAGCCCCGGGUUAAUACCCUGGGGUCAUGACGGUACCGUAAGAAUAAGCACCGGCUAACUACGUGCCAGCCGCCGCCGUAA
Molecule: ribosomal RNA, 498 nt
Filed under: uncultured bacterium
Lineage: Bacteria
Description: partial 16S ribosomal RNA
Rfam family: Bacterial small subunit ribosomal RNA
Source: RNAcentral